GGGCCCGCACAAGCGGUGGAGCAUGUGGUUUAAUUCGAUGAUACGCGAGGAACCUUACCAGGGCUUAAAUGUAGUGGGACAGGUCUAGAGAUAGACCCUUCUUCGGACUCAUUACAAGGUGCUGCAUGGUUGUCGUCAGCUCGUGCCGUGAGGUGUCAGGUUAAGUCCUAUAACGAGCGCAACCCCUAUCGUUAGUUGCCAGCGAGUAAUGUCGGGAACUCUAACGAAACUGCCAGUGCAAACUGUGAGGAAGGUGGGGAUGACGUCAAAUCAUCACGGCCCUUACGUCCUGGGCUACACACGUGCUACAAUGGCCGGUACAGAGAGCAGCCACUUCGCAAGAAGGAGCGAAUCCUUAAAACCGGUCUCAGUUCGGAUUGGAGUCUGCAACUCGACUCUAUGAAGCUGGAAUC
RNAcentral lists this ribosomal RNA (413 nucleotides) under uncultured bacterium. Its description in RNAcentral is "bacterial SSU rRNA". It matches the Rfam family "Bacterial small subunit ribosomal RNA", at positions 917 to 1333 of the family's 1533-position model. The record is from RNAcentral.